Molecule: unclassified non-coding RNA, 21 nt
Filed under: Mus musculus (house mouse)
Lineage: Eukaryota; Metazoa; Chordata; Mammalia; Rodentia; Muridae
Description: oocyte_clustered_small_RNA4784
Source: RNAcentral
UCCUGGCACCGGGCAGCUCAA